Manihot esculenta (cassava) is the source of this 2535-nucleotide RNA transcript. It is a transcript of the gene named protein KINESIN LIGHT CHAIN-RELATED 2, with no coding region annotated. The record is from RefSeq and is a predicted model, not a curated record. Lineage: Eukaryota; Viridiplantae; Streptophyta; Magnoliopsida; Malpighiales; Euphorbiaceae. The transcript has 3 exons.
CUCAAAAAGGGAAAAUGGAGGAGGCACGCAUUUAAUUUUUGUCUAUGAAGGAAACGACUUCGUUUCAUUACCAAAUAGGCGUAUCAGAGUCCUACCCCUGCAACGCGAUAUGUGCAGACGGAGCAUCCAGAAACAUAAAGUUACAAGGAUCUGGGGUUCUUCAAGGGUUUAACUGAGAGCCACUGUCACCAAGCGCUGGAACUCCACCAUGAGAAGAGCUUCAAUUUCACUUCUCUCUCGCCUUACCCGCCAACACAACAAAGCACUGACUCCUCUCCUUUCUAGAAAUUACAUAUCUGACACCGCCUCCUUUUCUUCCUCUUCGCUCCACUCACCCGGCAAUCAUCUCAAACACUGCACUAAAACCAAUGGCCUAAUCGUUAAACCUCGCCAAUUCCAAGCAAACCCAUCUCCAAACAUUGACACCCUUGUUGAAGAAAAGGCUCAAAUCUCCUCUAGGCAGAGAAAAAUCAAGGAAAAGUAUGAACUUGAAGAAGCUUUUGAAUCUGCACAGACAGCUGAGGAGAUGCUUCAAGCUUUUAAAGAAAUGGAGGCUUCUUUUGAUGAGAAAGAGCUUGGAUUUGCUGCAUUGAAAAUUGGGUUAAAACUUGACCAAGAAGGUGAGGACCCUGAAAAGACCUUAUCUUUUGCUACUAGAGCUUUGAAAGUUCUUGAUAAAGUUGAUAAUAAACCUUCUUUACUUCUUGCCAUGACUUUGCAAUUAAUGGGCUCUGCUAAUUACAGUUUAAAAAGGUUUAAUGAUAGUUUAGGUUAUUUAAAUAGGGCUAAUAGGAUAUUAGGCAGGCUAGGGGAGGAGGGAAGUGAUAAUUUAGAGGAUAUGAAGGCAGUGCUGCAUGCAGUGCAACUAGAGUUAGCAAAUGUGAAGACUGCAAUAGGGAGGAGAGAGGAGGCUUUAGAGAAUCUUAGGAAGUGCUUAGAGAUCAAAGAAAUGACGUUGGAGAAGGAUAGUAAGGAAUUGGGUGUGGCAAAUAGGGAACUGGCAGAGGCAUACGUUGCAGUUUUGAAUUUCAAGGAGGCAUUGCCAUUUGGUUUGAAGGCGUUGGAUAUACAUAGGAGUGGACUGGGGAAUAAUUCUGUGGAGGUUGCACGUGAUAGAAGGCUUCUUGGUGUCAUUUACACUGGGUUAGAGGAGCAUCAGAAGGCAUUGGAGCAGAAUGAAUUGUCGCAAAAGGUCUUGAAGAAUUGGGGUCUUAGCUCAGAUUUGCUUCAUGCAGAGAUUGAUGCCUCAAAUAUGCAGAUAGCAUUGGGCAGAUAUGAUGAGGCUAUUAAUACUCUGAAAGGUAUUGUUCAGCAGACAGAAAAAGACAGUGAGACUCGAGCAUUGGUGUUUAUAUCAAUGUCAAAAGCUCUGAGUAAUCAAGAGAAGUUUGCUGAUUCAAAGAAAUGUCUGGAAAUUGCUUGUGGAAUCCUUGAGAAGAAAGAGUCAGUUUCUCCAGUUGAAGUUGCUGAGGCAUACUCAGAGAUAGCAAUGCAGUAUGAAAAUAUGAAUGAAUUGGAAACGGCGAUCUCAUUGCUGAAGAGAACACUUUCUUUGCUUGAGAAGCUCCCACAAGAACAGCACUCAGAAGGAAGUGUUUCUGCUAGAGUUGGGUGGUUACUUUUGUUGACAGGUAAGGUGCCUCAGGCAAUUCCUUACUUGGAGAAUGCUGCUGAAAGGUUGAAAGAGAGCUUUGGUUCUAAGCAUUUUGGAGUGGGUUAUAUCUAUAACAAUUUAGGGGCAGCAUAUUUGGAACUGGAUAGACCGCAGUCAGCUGCGCAGAUGUUUGCAGUUGCAAAAGAUAUCAUGGAUGUGGCACUUGGUCCUCAACAUGCAGAUGCAAUUGAAGCAUGUCAAAAUCUCUCGAAAGCAUAUGGUGCCAUGGGAAGAUUCCACGCCGCCUGCCCUCACCUCACGCUCACAGUGCAUGUGCCUCCAUCCACCACUUCCAGCGGUGCUUCCACCGUCCAACCUCCACUUUCCUCCCGGCGACAUCGACUGAUUGACCAUCGUCGGGUACCUCGGCUUGUAUGUUGUGGCUCGUGACCCAUCGCCGCAAUCGUCGGUGCCGCGUCACCCGUCCUCACGCUCACAGUGCAUGUGCCUCCAUCCACCACUUCUAGCGGUGCUUCCACCGUCCAACCUCCACUUUCCUCCCGGCGACAUCGACUGAUUGACCAUCGUCGGGUACCUCGACUUGUAUGUUGCGGCUGCGUGACCCAUCGCCGCAAUCGUCGGUGCCGCAUCACCCGUCAUCGCUGUCGUGUGCUGUUGUAUCGUACAUCUGCAUAGCUGUCGUGCACUGUCGCGUGCUGUUGUGUCGUACAUCUCUCUCACGCCUCCAGCCCUCAGUUCAAUCGGUUGUGUCGUCCAUGUGUGCUGUUGAACUUGAGGCAACUGUAGAAGCUAUGCCCUUGCAAUUGAAUUUCAGCAGCGGGCAAUUGAUGCCUGGGAAAGCCAUGGGCGUAGUGCCCAAGAUGAACUCAUAGAGGCCCGUCGAAUUCUUGAACAAUUAAAGACAAAAGCUCGUGGUACAU